GAGAAGAUAGUGGCGAACGGGUGAGUAACAACGUGGGUAACCGUGCCCGAUAAGAGGGGGGAUAACAUCCGGAAACGGGUGCUAAUACCGCAUAGUUUUCUUGAUCGCAUGAUUGAGAAAGGAAAGACGGCCUUUGUGCUGUCGCUUAUGGAUGGACCCGCGGCGUAUUAGUUAGUUGGUGAGGUAACGGCUCACCAAGACGAUGAUACGUAGCCGACCUGAGAGGGUGAUCGGCCACAUUGGGACUGAGACACGGCCCAAACUCCUACGGGAGGCAGCAGUAGGGAAUCUUCCGCAAUGGACGAAAGUCUGACGGAGCAGCGCCGCGUGAGUGAAGAAAGGUUUUCGGAUCGUAAACUCUGUUGUCAGAGAAGAACAAGUUGGAGAGUAACUGCUCCAGCCUUGACGGUAUCUGACCAGAAAGCCACGGCUAACUACGUGCCAGCCGCAGC
Molecule: ribosomal RNA, 452 nt
Filed under: uncultured bacterium
Lineage: Bacteria
Description: bacterial SSU rRNA
Rfam family: Bacterial small subunit ribosomal RNA
Source: RNAcentral